GCCAUGGUGACGAGAAAUAUACCUCUGCCUUUCUUCCCAACUGUCACUCUUUGAGCUGAGCAGUUCAUAGUUGAUAUUGAGUUGUCAGCUCUCUACCUAGCGUCUUUGAGGAUGGACAACCUCAAUUCUUGCUGCUGCGAUGAUGUUGCCAAGGCUGUGGUGCCAGAUUUUGUCCACCGAAACUCAGAUGGAUACCUGGAUACCUUCAAGCAGCUGCUUGAAACACAAAC
RNAcentral lists this long non-coding RNA (230 nucleotides) under Canis lupus familiaris (dog). RNAcentral's name for it is "lncRNA (ENSCAFG00845026036.1)". Lineage: Eukaryota; Metazoa; Chordata; Mammalia; Carnivora; Canidae. The record is from RNAcentral.